UCUAGGAGGUAUUAAAGCCAUUCAUCUCCGGUAGAGUAGGAGGGUGUCACGGUAUUUCUACUGGAGGGGAUGUGGGGGUCAUUCCCCCCAGAGGGCAUUUGCAUCCUAAAGCGACUGAUUCUGCUUGGGUCUGGUCUCAACCAAGAGGCAUUUGAGAGCACCCCGCAUUAACAUAUGUGCAUGUUCAGUCAGAUUUGAGCCGGCACUUUGCACUUUCCUGCGAUAAAGGAUGGAGAAAGGCUUCACGCUGAGGGCUGCCGAGCACCUGCCCAGUUUCAGUCUUUGAAUUUCCCCCAGGUCCACCCACCUGGCUGUGCUGGGAGCUCUGGCUAAUGCCAGAGACCCCAGCAGUCCUCUCCAGAACCAAUGCAAUGGUGUGUGCUCAGGCAUCUGGCUGGAGUGGAAUGAACAUCUCUUCAUGAAGAACUGCUCACAUCUGAGUUGGAGUGAUUGCUCAAAAGUGGAGAACAUGGAGACGAAGCAGACAGAUUCCUCUCUACCUUCUGGAGCUAUCAAUCAGCUUAAAUGUUGCUGUCUUAGCCCUGUGGCCUAGAGUCUGCACUUUGCCCCCAUCUUCUUCACCAGUGGAUGUGGGAGGAAGGCCUGCAGCCCCGCAUGGAGCACCUGUGCCAAAGCCGAUCUUCUCCAUGACCUUGUCACCCCUUUGUCUUUCUAGGCCAUUGAAGGAGCUUCACUGUCUGCAGUUUACAGCCUGUAUUGGAGAGCAGGAAUGUGCUCAGUCCCGAACACUGCAGAAAAGGAGAACGCUUUCUGAGCAUGCUGGUGUAACCUUUGGAGAAGUCAUACGCUAUCAUCACUCUUCCUCUCCACCCACCGAGCUACAGCUGAGGUGACAUGGGAUCGGACGAUUCGGAGAAGAACCUCAGGGCAGGGCUGCCUGAAAUAUCCAGGAGCAUUGACCCUGGGAUACAUGUGGCAGCAGCUCCAGUUGUCCCCUGUGGCAGUGAGUGUGGUAAUUGUACACUGUGAACAGGCACCCUCUUCCCCAAGGAAUUUGAAGUUAUGCAAUUUUUUACAUCUGACUGGGAUUUCAGAGGCUCUGAGUGCUCAGGCAGAGUAAAAACUUCAGCUACGUUCCCUGCAUGCACAAAGAUAAGUUAUAGAGCACAUGAGGUGUGUCCAGCACUUCCAGGAGCUGUGGGCCUUUGGUCUCUACACUGGACAGAUGGUCUAUAUAUGCACAAUAAAUGCCGUGUGUUUCCAUGCACAGACCAUCUGUGAAACGUAGGCAUAGGAUGUCGGAUGCUUCCUGAAAACCUGGCAACCCUAUGGCUGACGCUCUGCAAUGUGACUGAGACCAUAAUUUUCAAAGGACUUCGGACUUCCAGCUGCUGCUGAUUUCAGCGUAUUUUCCAGAGCAGACGCUGAGCACGGCUUGGACUCCAUGAUGGGGUAUUUGGUAGGACAGAUGCUGCAUGUGAAAGUCCUGAGUACAGCAAGAAAAGGUGACGAAGCUCUUCAUUGUGAGGCUCCUUGAAGAAUAUGGUGCAAGAUGGAAGGCUGCACAGUGCAUCUGGGGUCAGGGAGAUAUUUCAGUCUGACUUCAAUGUGAUGGAAGUGCUGUGUGACUCUUUUAAUGGAACUCUCUAGAGAAGAAAAAAAAUGCACCUACUGGUACUGAUGGCUGUUUUAUUUAUUCACUUAUUAACCACCCUUGAAAUUACAGUCUAUUGUAAAAGUAUCACUAUUUUCUUCUCCAAUGGAUACCUGAUUAAUGUCUUGUGAGUUGUGCAUGCCCUGCCAAAUGAGAGUGAUGUGUUUCUCAGCUGAUAGCUAAAUAAUUUUUUAAGUGAGUUAUUGUCUCACUUAGUAGCUCUGGUAGACUAGAUCCCCACCUGAUUUGCCCUCCCCAUGCAGAACAAAAUUUACUUAAUUUUGCUCUAAUUUAGAAUGGUAUUAACACAGAAAUUGAGCAGUGAGAAAUUGCCUAGAGGCUUUUCUCUUGCAUUUUCCCUGCAGGGAGAUUCACAUUUUAAGCUCUCCCAAACAAAAAGGUCAUCCCAUUUGUUCCAAGGAUUUUUGGAGACUAACCAAUAGCCAAUAUUUAUAUAGGAGAAUACUCUCAUUAGCCCACUCCAGCUCUUCUCAAGAUUGUUUGGAAGAUUUUUCAAAUUUGCAUCUCUCCCAUAAGAAGGAAUGAAGCGAAAGGAGCUUUUGGAGCUAAUCAUCUGCUAUUAAAGAAGGCGAGCACAGAUAUAGGGGGUGAAAAUGCUUCUUGUCCUGCUGGGGUCUUCACUGCCUCUGGAGUUGCAAGGACAAGUGCCUGGGGACAACUCAACAGUACUUCACACAGUUCAUCCUACACUCCUUUCUUAGCUUGCGUCAUUCUCCUCAUCUCCCAUUCCCUUUCCUUUUCUCUCCCCUUUCUUUGCACUCUCCCAUCUACCAACUCUCUGAUUCAGUAUGCUGGCUCACACUGGUAGCUGCAACCCUCAGAAGACAGAGAUGCUACUGAUGACAUUGAGCUGUCUGAGCUCAGCUUCUCUCUCAGAUUUGGUCCUUGUCAUCCUUUUGUUAUCAUCAUCAUCAGCUACCAUUCUUUAUCACUGUUAUCUUUGCUGAAAUAUCAGUGUAAGUUAUCCAUUUAAUUUUGGGGCAUGGACCUCCAAGUUUUUAAGUUCUGCCUAGCUACCCCACUCCUUUCCCCACUGUUUAUUUUAUUAGUAGGGCUGAAAGGUAUGUUUCUGUUUAAAUCUACCCCUUGCAAGGCCUCAUUCUGCUUAACUUCUGGCAUUUCUCAUUUUAUUCUCAAGCUUCUUGACCUCUAAAGUACCUUCACUUUGCUGAGCUGUCUUUUUUUUCCAUUCUUUGCUGGCUCUUGGUUGAUUGCUAUUAUCCUUUGUUGAGGUGGCUUACUCAUUCACUUAAAUUUAGAGUAAUUUUUACAGGCUUUGUUUUUCCCUGGCUUGGGAGAUGUGCUGGAGGUAGUUUCUAUACUUUUGGCUGAAAGGAAUCUCAGGCCUUUCCCACAUUCAGGACUUUCAGUUCUUUAGUCCAGUUGAGUUCACUAAUUAGUUCCCUUAAUUUCUCAGAUUCUGCCCAUUUGAAAUGUAGAACCUUAAUUACAGACCUAUUUUUGUUUACUCUUCCAUUUAAUUUAAACUGAAUCAACUUGUGAUUGCUCAGUCAAAGGUUAUUUUCUUUGAUCGCUUCUCCUGUAAUGUGCUUGCUAUUUACCAAAACGAAGCCUAAAAUAGCAUCAGUGGUUCAGCACUCUUUGGUGAAUUAAUUUGUUGGCAAUUACAUCUAAGUCUGUUUGGCCAUGCUGCAAGUAGUAGCUUCUGUAUCUAUGAAACUGUAUUUAUUUCUCUCAAAUUUCCUUCUUUAAUGACGUGGUACAUCAUCUGUGAUAUUGAUAAAGAAGUAAAUCAAAUGUUAAAAAAUCUAGAGAGGAAGAGAGAACACAAUACAGAGCAAUUUUAUGUCACUUUGUAACUCUUUAUUGCUGUAUGCAUUUCUGGUACAUCCCAUCUCAUAAAGGAUACAGCACAAAUGGAAUAGGUUCAGAGAUGGGCAGCAAGAGUAAAACGUGGAAGAGCUUCUGUCUAAGGAAAAACUGACCCGAAUAAAAGUAUUUAAGCUGGAGAAAGGAUAAAUGAAGGUAUCUAUACUGAUGGAUAGGAUAUCAUAAAGAUGGUAAAUAAGGAAGAAUUGUUCAUUAUCCUCUCCCACUUAAGGGAAUAGAAGAGGUUAUCAGGAGAAACAGGCAGAUAUUUUGUUCAAAGCAGGCAGAAGGAAAUGCUUUAUUUCACAUAGCACGUAGCUGUGUGAAAUUUCUUCUUGCCACACAUUGUUAUGCUUGUUUAUAUAGAUUAAAAACAAAUACAAAACCAAAAGAAAAACAGAUACACAAAAUCUCACAACAACAAAACGACCCCAAAAAACUAGAGAGAUUAAUGGAAGAAAACAGCUAGUGAAGACUACUGACAGCACCUCUGACUCAGAAAGCUGUUGAAACCAAAGUGUUUAUUCUAAGGAAAUGAUCUUUCUCUGAUGUCCUGCGUGGGACAUCUGCCUUUGGCUAUUGUUUGGGGCAAGAUGGACUUCUAGUCUGUAGGGCUGGUUCUAUGACCCUGUGUCCAGUGACAAACUAAGGACCUUAGUGUACUGCAGCUUACAGUGCCUCCAAAAUGAUUCCAAGGUCAUGGGCAGAGCUAACACAGGAAGAUAACAGUAAUUUAUAUUUGGUUUUCCUUCCUUUGAAUUCUUAUAAAGGCCAGGGUAACACUCAGCUCUGCACAGUAUGUGCUUGCCAUUUCUGUUUAAUUUCCAGGCACCUUUUCAUUUGGAAGUAGAGUCAGUUCUUUCUCUGGGCUCUGGUAGGCAGCAGGUCACAGAGAUAAAUGUCAGGGAAGCACAGACCACCGCUCAGUGUUGUCUAAGGAAUAAAGGUAGGUGAGGUCAAAUGGUUAAGAAAACGUGACUGGUUAAUAAAUAUGGCCAAAAAAAAAAAUGGUCUCAUGUAUGGCGUAGCUAUGCAACAGCAUUCUUAGGGGCAGAAAUCCUGCGAAUCCACCAAGAUCGCUGGACUCCGCUACCAAAUUUUAUCCACUUCUGUCUACCUCUCUGUUCACAGAAGAUGCUGCCAAAGCUGAGUUCAUAACUUGCAAACCUCUAACAGCUGCCUGAUGUUCUUUUAAUCUUUCACAUAUGCUGCAUUCAGCCUCCUCACAGCUACAAAAA
Long non-coding RNA from Anas platyrhynchos (mallard), 4704 nucleotides. RefSeq lists it as uncharacterized. The record is from RefSeq and is a predicted model, not a curated record. Lineage: Eukaryota; Metazoa; Chordata; Aves; Anseriformes; Anatidae.